Carya illinoinensis is the source of this 3413-nucleotide RNA transcript. It is a transcript of the gene named protein TRANSPARENT TESTA 9-like, with no coding region annotated. Lineage: Eukaryota; Viridiplantae; Streptophyta; Magnoliopsida; Fagales; Juglandaceae. The transcript has 22 exons. The record is from RefSeq and is a predicted model, not a curated record.
CCGUUGCCGACUUCAUAGACAAAUACCUUCCAUUUGAAAACGUUGAAAGUUGGUUGCCACAUUCAACCCGCAGAGCCACCACCAAACGGCCAAACCAAAGAAAGUCCCUGCGUGCGGUCCCGUCUUACAAAGCCAAAACACACACACACACAAACACGUGCGCCUCAUACACUCUCAACCUGCAUGAUCGUUCCCGCAAUGUCACCUCGUCUUCAAUUUCCUUUUAUCUAGGGCUUUUGGUCCCCCGUGUGCGUGUAGAUCUUGCUAUCGGACCCCUGGAUCGGUUACCAUGUGGCGUUCUUUCUGGCGGUCCAUCGACCGUUUUUCUCUACAGCACUUCAAAUAUGUAAUCAAUGAACUGCGGGCGAUCAAAGUUGUGGAUCUGCGUAACAGGGAGUUGGUCAUAGAUCUACUGCAGUCUAUAGUGGAGAUAGUUACCUAUGGUGAUAGACAAGAUCCUAUGAUAUUUGAAUGUUUCAUGGAAUACCAAGUUUUAGCGGAAUUUGUUCGCUUGCUAAAGAUCAGCAAGAAUUCGAGGAUUGAGGCACCGUUGCUACAGUAUCUAAGCAUAAUGAUUCAAAAUAUGGAUAGCGAACAUGCAAUUUAUUAUUGUUUUAGCAAUGAUUAUGUUAACAACAUAAUAGCACAUAAGUAUGAAUUUGAUGGUGGAGAUCUGGCUCCAUAUUAUGUAUCAUUUUUAAGGGCAGUGAGCAGCAAGAUAAACAAAGACACGCUUUGCCUUCUUGUGAAGGUUCAAGAGGACGCUGUAGUUUCGUUUCCCCUCUAUAGUGAGGCUCUUAAAUUUGCUCAUUACGAGGAAAAGAUGAUUCAGACAGCUGUACGUGCAUUAACCCUCAACAUAUACAAUGUGAGCGAUGAUAUGGUCUUUCAAUUUAUAACUACUCCUCCGGUCUCAAAGUACUUCUCAGAUGUGGUUUGUAGAUUAAGAAAACAGUGCUUGCAUCUAGACACCUUUCUCCAAGCUAAAGAGGAAAUGUGCACUCAUGGAAGGAGAAAUGAACUAAUUCUAGAAACUGAUAAAAUUGUAGAUGAUCUUUACUACUUGAAAGACAUACUCAGUGUCAGCGAGAAUCGUUUGGGUAGAUUUAUCACCCAAAAUAUUUUCAGCUUACUUGUCUUUCCAAUAUUGCUUCCAUUACUGCAGUUAAGGCAGCAGAUCGACGGCUCGAAUAUAUCAGAAGUCACUUCUUUGUAUAUCAUUUCUCGUCUUAUCCAAGUUAUAGGUGGAAAAAGAGUGAUAAAUGCCGUGGCUGGUGUUAUUCUAUAUCCUUAUUUGACCUCAAGUGUGGGAGGUGCUACUGAAGGGGACACAGUUGAUGCGAAUGGAAAUUCUUUUCUUAAUCAUCUGAAUGAUGUGGAAAAAUUGGUAUGUUCUGGUCCAGAGACUGAGGGAUCAGAAAAUACUAGCAACUCUAUGUUUGGGCAUUUGGGAGAGCAUGUGUCAUCUGAUUCUCAAUUCGUUGGUGGUGCUUGGAAUGAUCUCUGUAUAGAAAGGGGUGGAAUAUUUAAAUAUGUUUUUGCGGACAAUAGUCCCAGUCUGCUGCUAGCAUCUCUGUUUUUAUUGCUUAUCUUAGCAGAAAGUAAAGAUCUUGAUUAUUUCCUAUUUCCAAUGAUUGGCAGAAUACCGGAUAUGACUACUCAGGCUCGUGAGUUUUCAGCUUCACAGAGAGUAAAUGAAAGUAUAUUUGUGAAAUUCAUGCCCCAGAUUUUAAAUGCAUUGUUGAAGAUUUUAGCAAGCCAACCACCGUUGUCUGUUCUAAUACAAUGGCACACAGGGUGGUUCUUCCGGAAGCUACUGAUUUCUCAAGGGAACAGCCUCAGUGAUCUUAAUUUCCAACUAUUCAACACUUCAUAUGAGCAGUCUCGUGAACGCCUUCAGAAAGAACUUGAUGGAUGCUGGUUUGAUCGUAUUCCGGAUACGUUCCGAAGUGAAUGGUCAAACUGUAGAACUGCUCUUGAGGAAUCAUCCCAAUGUAAAGAUCCCUUCUUUGCAUUAGAACUUGCUGCAUGCCGAGAAAAGACUGACGGGGGUGAUGCUACUCUUUCUGCUUUGCAAAGGAUGGUAGAAGCUGUGAAGGUAUUCAUUCUCCAUCUUCAGCUCAAGGCUUUUAUUUUCAAAGGAGAUUUGCCUGAAAAACCCACACUGAAUUCAACAACUGGUCCAACUGCCGAUUCUGGAAGAAGUCACACGUCCGAUAUUUCAUCUGCAAGCUUUGGUUCUGAUGUUUCUCUAGGAUCUGGAAUCCCUUGCAGCAUAGCAUUUUCCAAUGCAGGAAUCAGGGAUGUAUACCUGGUACCAGCAGCAAGGGGAAUAACUGGAAAAUUGCUUCUCACAGAGAAGCAUCCCUUCCGUAGUCAAAGAGGAGUUGUCAUUGCUAUUGCUCCAUUGGCUGGUUUGAGUCCAAAGAUAGACAAGGACCAUCCCUCAUGGUUGCAUCUCCAGAUAAGGGAGUUCGACCCAAGAUUUGAUACAAGUAAGGCCAGAGGCAACCACUUGAAGAUGUCCAAUCAUGUUGCAGAUGGGAGAUGGACCCUUGGUUUCCCAAACGCAAAAGCUUGUGAGACGGCACGGUUUUUGAUACUUGAGGAAAUUGGUAAACAGAGAUCCUUUGUUGAAAGCAUGCUUGCUCCACUUCUUCAGGAUGAUUUUCUUGGAAAUUUAUCAGAUAAUCAAGAUGAGUGAAGCUCUAAUGCGAGAUGUUUGAGGCGAGUUUUUUGCCAUUGCUUGUAAAUCUCUGCUAUUAGUGUGUUUCUUGCCCUGAUGACAGUGGACACCAAGUGAAAUGGCUUGGCAACCAGAUGUAAGUUGAGUCUUUCAUCUCCCAUUGCAUCAGAACAUUCUUUAGCUUAGUUUGUUUAUAUUAUUCAUACCUUGAGCUGGUAUAGGGGUCAAAUUGGGAUCAUCUUCCCGGCUAGUGCCAUUGAUAGAAACUCGUGAUAACUCAAAGUUCCAAUCUUGAUAUUUAUCCCAAGGUACAGUGCUCUACUAUGGAGGGUACUCGAGCUAGAGGCAUUGGGAAUUAUAUUGGAAGAUAUCGAUAACUAACAACGAGCCUGGCUCUGAUUUUGGCUUCUUUUCCCCAUUCUAGGAAAAUAGAUAGCCGAAGCCAAAGCAACUUUGACUGUUGAGAAAGCUGAUCCUGUGGUUUUUGAUGACACGUAGUGUCUUACACCCGUUGCAAUUUACUGUUGAGAACCGAGCUAAUUAAGAAACUAGAAGCAUAAAAAUAAUGAGAACUUUUAGGAAAAGGAGUGUGGUUCUGGUACGUAGUUGAAUCACCUUUAUAUUAACAAGGCUGUCGUGUCAAAAUUGGAGCUACUUUUUCCUCUAUUGUAACCUUUAAAGCUCUGAGUUAGUCUGGCCGGCUUCCACACUACCAUUAUACUAUUAA